AGAUUGAACGCUAGCGGGAUGCUUUACACAUGCAAGUCGAACGGCAGCGCGGACUUCGGUCUGGCGGCGAGUGGCGAACGGGUGAGUAAUAUAUCGGAACGUGCCCAGUAGCGGGGGAUAACUACGCGAAAGCGUGGCUAAUACCGCAUACGCCCUACGGGGGAAAGGGGGGGAUCGCAAGACCUCUCACUAUUGGAGCGGCCGAUAUCAGAUUAGCUAGUUGGUGAGGUAAAGGCUCACCAAGGCGACGAUCUGUAGCUGGUUUGAGAGGACGACCAGCCACACUGGGACUGAGACACGGCCCAGACUCCUACGGGAGGCAGCAGUGGGGAAUUUGGACAAUGGGGGAAACCUGAUCCAGCCAUCCCGCGUGUGCGAUGAAGGCCUUCGGGUUGUAAGCACUUUGGCGAGGAAGAAACGGCGUUACGCCUAACGUACGGACGUACCACGUCGACGGUACCUA
This 463-nucleotide ribosomal RNA is filed under the name uncultured soil bacterium. RNAcentral's name for it is "bacterial SSU rRNA". It matches the Rfam family "Bacterial small subunit ribosomal RNA", at positions 26 to 496 of the family's 1533-position model. The record is from RNAcentral.